Molecule: unclassified non-coding RNA, 336 nt
Filed under: Athalia rosae (coleseed sawfly)
Lineage: Eukaryota; Metazoa; Arthropoda; Insecta; Hymenoptera; Athaliidae
Description: misc RNA ENSAEAG00005009696.1
Source: RNAcentral
UUAUCAUCGCGGGGGUCGCCGAAGGUGCCCAACACCAGACUGUCGAAUCGAAAAUUCGCGAUGACAUCAACUUAUCUCAGUUGGAAAUCAACGACUCACGAUGACUUUAACCUUCACAUGACUGAGCUGGCACCAUAUGGCACCACCCCGUGACCCACACAUAUCAGAUGGUUAUCGGGCUGUACGAAGGUUAUGCUGCAUCGAGGGCUGGCGAUCGUCCACGGGUAUUGAAAUCGCGCUCUGUGUAACAUCGCGGUUGUUCCGGCCAACUUUCAUUUCAACUUUUAAGAAAAUUUCACGGUAAGAGAACAUCGAUACGUCAUCCUUCGAACUCAA